AAGAAAGAAACCCUCAUUUCCCGAUGGAAAGACAAUGUAAGCCCAAAGCAUGCAUUCAAAUGCAGAGUUCAGUGAAAAACACACCACAGCUGCCAGCAACUCAACUGGUUUAGCUUCUAAAAGGCAGCUAAGAUACAUAGCUCACAGAAGCAAUUGUGGAAGCGAACGAUGUUCCAAAGAAGAAUGUGGAAAACCAGGAAGAAUAAAAGGAAAACUAGGAAGAUGUAUAAUUCAGUUCUGAAUGUGAAGAGGAGCAAUGUGACAGAUUAUAUCACCCCAUUAACCUUCUAUUUAAAGGUUUAUUAGUGGCACAAAAUAUCAUAUGUAUGUAAGAAAGCUGGGCCUCUUGGAUUGUCAGCAGUACCAGCAUAUUAAAAACUAACUGAUAUAUUGUUGCAUAAGAAUUCGUGACCCAGAAAACACUCCAUAAAAUAUAAUCCUCUCUUGGUUCACAUGUGUAUGUGCAUAUACAGAUAUAGUGUAGUGUCAGAAUGCAAAUGGAGAGAAAUAUGGUUCCCUUUGGCUUGUUUUUCACGUAAAAACAACCUCAUUUGCAGCAUAUCUUGUUUUGCUGGUACAGAGGUGAGAAAUUAGCAAGAGUGCUGUAACCCUCCUGGUAGCUUGUAUGCGUGUGUGUUUGUGAUUUGGUACAUUUGCUCAUGCCUGAGAAGAUCUUUCCUAAGCAAGAAAAGACGUUGAGAAAGGUAUAUUCCCUCUGCUUCCCAAGUUAGUUGCCUUCUGUCCUUAAUUCACAUUCUUUGUUACCUACUGUACUCCCCUUCCCUUCUGCUUCUAUUUAAAACUACAUUUUAGUUAAGGAAACUCUUCUAUGAGUGGAAAAGAGAGAUUGUGGCUAAUUCAUUUUGGGGAGAAAAUUGAUAGUGUAUGUGGAGCAGCAAUUGAUGGGAUUCAAUUGUGGAAAUAACAGGGUAAGAGUUCAUUGAAUUGAGGGGCCUAAGGUACCACCCUUCCCCAGAUGCAAAAGUGUUUGGAACUUAGCCUUAUCUUCCCACAGAAUUCUGCCCACACAUGCUUAGCAACCAAAUUCUGAUUGGCCAAGAAAAUACUCAUGCAACAUGCCUUGCCAAGUCUCUCUCCUUCUAAUUCCUUGUUCACUUAAUCAACUGCUUUGUUGCUUGGUGUUAAGCCUGAGAGGCAGGAGACACUUUCACUUUAUUUUUGUUUGGAAUUAGAGCUAACUCUUGGUCUCUGUCUGAGAAAAAAAUCUUGUGUCCCUGUGUUAGUCACAGUUAUUCUUUCUCCUCAAUNCAUGUCAAGUGUUUACAUAUUACCAAGCAUCUCUUUGCCAGUAAUUACAAGUUGAGUCACCACUUACCAUUUGACUAAUUCACCCCAAAUUGAAUGUGUGUCAUGGUUGGCAUUUGCUUAUUAUCUUUCUUUUGUAAUAAAGUUAUUUCUUGU
This 1422-nucleotide long non-coding RNA is filed under the name Salvator merianae (Argentine black and white tegu). Its description in RNAcentral is "lncRNA (ENSSMRG00000006612.1)". Lineage: Eukaryota; Metazoa; Chordata; Lepidosauria; Squamata; Teiidae. The record is from RNAcentral.